CUACGGGCGGCAGCAGUGGGGAAUAUUGGACAAUGGGGGAAACCCUGAUCCAGCAAUGCCGCGUGUGUGAAGAAGGCCUGCGGGUUGUAAAGCACUUUCGGUUGGGAGGACUGCUUCUAGCACUAAUAUUGUUGGAAGUUGACGUUACCUUCAGAAGAAGCACCGGCUAACUCCGUGCCAGCAGCCGCGGUAAUACGGAGGUGCAAGCGUUAAUCGGAAUUACUGGGCGUAAAGCGCGCGUAGGCGGCUAGAUCAGUCGGGUGUGUAAGCCCCGGGCUUAACCUGGGAACUGCAUCCGAUACUGUCUAGCUUGAGUACAGGAGAGGAGAGUGGAAUUCCACAUGUAGCGGUGAAAUGCGUAGAUAUGUGGAGGAACACCAAUGGCGAAGGCAGCUCUCUGGCCUGAUACUGACGCUGAGGUGCGAAAGCGUGGGGAGCAAACAGGAUUAGAUACCCGUGUAGUC
RNAcentral lists this ribosomal RNA (464 nucleotides) under uncultured bacterium. Its description in RNAcentral is "partial 16S ribosomal RNA". It matches the Rfam family "Bacterial small subunit ribosomal RNA", at positions 339 to 795 of the family's 1533-position model. The record is from RNAcentral.